Molecule: ribosomal RNA, 438 nt
Filed under: uncultured bacterium
Lineage: Bacteria
Description: partial 16S ribosomal RNA
Rfam family: Bacterial small subunit ribosomal RNA
Source: RNAcentral
CUACGGGUCGCUGCAGUGGGGAAUAUUGCACAAUGGGCGAAAGCCUGAUGCAGCAACGCCGCGUGAGCGAUGAAGGCCUUCGGGUCGUAAAGCUCUGUCCUCAAGGAAGAUAAUGACGGUACUUGAGGAGGAAGCCCCGGCUAACUACGUGCCAGCAGCCGCGGUAAUACGUAGGGGGCUAGCGUUAUCCGGAAUUACUGGGCGUAAAGGGUGCGUAGGUGGUUUCUUAAGUCAGAGGUGAAAGGCUACGGCUCAACCGUAGUAAGCCUUUGAAACUGAGAAACUUGAGUGCAGGAGAGGAGAGUAGAAUUCCUAGUGUAGCGGUGAAAUGCGUAGAUAUUAGGAGGAAUACCAGUUGCGAAGGCGGCUCUCUGGACUGUAACUGACACUGAGGCACGAAAGCGUGGGGAGCAAACAGGAUUAGAUACCCCAGUAGUC